GAACCUUACCUGGGCUCGAAAUGUUAUGGACCGGAGUAGAAAUAUUCCUUCCCCGCAAGGGGCCGUAAUAUAGGUGCUGCAUGGCUGUCGUCAGCUCGUGUCGUGAGAUGUUGGGUUAAGUCCCGCAACGAGCGCAACCCUUAUUGUCAGUUGCCAUCAUUUAGUUGAGCACUCUGACGAAACCGCCUCGGAUAACGGGGAGGAAGGUGGGGAUGACGUCAAGUCCUCAUGGCCUUUAUGUCCAGGGCUACACACGUGCUACAAUGGCCGGUACAAACCGUCGCAAACCCGUGAGGGGGAGCUAAUCGGAAAAAGCCGGCCUCAGUUCGGAUUGUAGUCUGCAACUCGACUACAUGAAGCUGGAAUCGCUAGUAAUCGCGGAUCAGAAUGCCGCGGUGAAUACGUUCCCGGGCCUUGUCACACCGA
This 426-nucleotide ribosomal RNA is filed under the name uncultured soil bacterium. Its description in RNAcentral is "bacterial SSU rRNA". It matches the Rfam family "Bacterial small subunit ribosomal RNA", at positions 966 to 1393 of the family's 1533-position model. The record is from RNAcentral.